This is a long non-coding RNA of Orcinus orca (killer whale), 1621 nucleotides long. RefSeq lists it as uncharacterized. The record is from RefSeq and is a predicted model, not a curated record. Lineage: Eukaryota; Metazoa; Chordata; Mammalia; Artiodactyla; Delphinidae. The transcript is spliced from 2 exons.
GCUGGAGAGGGUGUGGAGAAAAGGGAACCCUCUUGCAGUGUUGGUGGGAAUGUAAAUUGAUACAGCCACUAUGGAGAACAGUAUGGAGGUUCCUUAAAAAACUAAAAAUAGAACUACCAUAUAACCCAGCAAUCGCACUACUGGGCAUAUACCCUGAGAAAACCAUAAUUCAAAAAGGGUCAUGUACCACAAUGUUCAUUGCAGCUCUAUUUACAAUAGCCAGGAAAUGGAAGCAACCUAAGUGUCCAUAGACAGAUGAAUGGAUAAAGAAGAUGUGGCACAUAUAUACAAUGAAAUAUUACUCAGCCAUAAAAAGAAACAAAAUUGAAUCAUUUGUAGUGAGGUGGAUGGGACUAGAGUCUGUCAUACAGAGUUAAGUAAGUCAGAAAGAGAAAAAUACCAUAUGCUAACACAUAUACAUGGAAUCUAAAAAACAAACAAACAAAAAACGGUCAUGAAGAACCUAGGGGCAAGACUGGAAUAAAGACGCAGACCUACUAGAGAACAGACUUGAGGAUACGAGGAGGGGGAAGGGUAAGCUGGGAGAAAGUGAGAGAGUGGCGUGGACAUACAUACACUACCAAAUGUAAAAUAGCUAGUGGGAAGCAGCUGCAUAGCACAGGGAGAUCAGCUCGGUGCUUUGUGAUCACCUAGAGGGGUGGAAUAGGGAGGGUGGGAGGGAGGGAGAUGCAAGAGGGAAGAGAUGUGGGGAUAUAUGUAUAUGUAUAAUUGAUUCACUUUGUUAUAAAGCAGAAAGUAACACACCAUUGUCAAGCAAUUAUACUCCAAUAAAGAUGUUAAAAAAUUUAUAAAAAUUUUUAAAAAUAAAACAAGUCUACUUUAAAAUGGGAAAAAAAAAAAAAAAAGUGGCCCUAAUCACAAAGACAUAAAUUACCAAGAAAUGAUGGGACUCUGUGAGGAAAACUGUUAAAUAAAAGUGACGUGGGAAAUUAGACUGGAAUACAUGAAGGGAGAUGUGGUACAUCAAAUUCUCCCCCGAUUUAAUCUAUGAAUUUAACAAAAUCCAAAACAAAGUGUCUGUAUGUAUUUUUGUUUGCUUGUGUAUGGGUUUUCUUUUUAGGCUUGCUAUUUUGAAAGAAAAAAGUUUGAGAAUAGCUAGGGAAUUUUGUAGAAAAACAAUGAAAGACACUUGUACAGCUGAGUAUUACAGAGUACAACAGAACUCUAGUAACUAAAACAGUGUAUAAUUGGUACAGAAAUUCAUAUAGAAGAAUGAAAGAGCUGGGAGUCCGGAACACUUCAGUUAUAGGAAGUAAUGAUGGAUUGUUCAGUAAGUGGUAUUGGAACAACUGGUUACCUGGCAGGAGAGGCAGGACAGCACAGUACAGUACAGUUAAGUGCAAAGACUGUAGACACACUGCGUGUGUUAAAAUUCCAACUUGCUAGUACUUACUACCUGUAACCUUGGACAAAUGACGUAACCACUCUGUGCCUCACUUCCUUCUUCUCUUCUCCCUAUGGCAUUAUUGCAAGGGUUAAGUGGAUUAAAAUUUGUAGAAGGCCCAGAGCAGAACCUGUCUCAUAGAAUGUACCUACUAAAUGUCAGCUGUUAUUCUGUCAUUUAGGGAAAACAACAAGUCCAUUCCCUACCUCAUACCCA